AGAGUUUGAUCCUGGCUCAGGAUGAACGCUGGCGGCGUGCCUAAUACAUGCAAGUCGAGCGAACUGAUUAGAAGCUUGCUUCUAUGACGUUAGCGGCGGACGGGUGAGUAACACGUGGGUAACCUGCCUGUAAGACUGGGAUAACUUCGGGAAACCGAAGCUAAUACCGGAUAGGAUCUUCUCCUUCAUGGGAGAUGAUUGAAAGAUGGUUUCGGCUAUCACUUACAGAUGGGCCCGCGGUGCAUUAGCUAGUUGGUGAGGUAACGGCUCACCAAGGCAACGAUGCAUAGCCGACCUGAGAGGGUGAUCGGCCACACUGGGACUGAGACACGGCCCAGACUCCUACGGGAGGCAGCAGUAGGGAAUCUUCCGCAAUGGACGAAAGUCUGACGGAGCAACGCCGCGUGAGUGAUGAAGGCUUUCGGGUCGUAAAACUCUGUUGUUAGGGAAGAACAAGUACAAGAGUAACUGCUUGUACCUUGACGGUACCUAACCAGAAAGCCACGGCUAACUACGUGCCAGCAGCCGCGGUAAUACGUAGGUGGCAAGCGUUAUCCGGAAUUAUUGGGCGUAAAGCGCGCGCAGGCGGUUUCUUAAGUCUGAUGUGAAAGCCCACGGCUCAACCGUGGAGGGUCAUU
RNAcentral lists this ribosomal RNA (638 nucleotides) under uncultured marine bacterium. RNAcentral's name for it is "bacterial SSU rRNA". It matches the Rfam family "Bacterial small subunit ribosomal RNA", at positions 8 to 627 of the family's 1533-position model. The record is from RNAcentral.